Molecule: ribosomal RNA, 371 nt
Filed under: uncultured bacterium
Lineage: Bacteria
Description: partial 16S ribosomal RNA
Rfam family: Bacterial small subunit ribosomal RNA
Source: RNAcentral
CCUACGUGAGUCAGCAGUGAGGAAUAUUGGUCAAUGGGCUUACGCCUGAACCAGCCAAGUCGCGUGAGGGAAGACUGCCCUAUGGGUUGUAAACCUCUUUUGUCAGGGAGCAAUUGGCGCUACGUGUAGCGUUAUCGAGAGUACCUGAAGAAAAAGCAGCGGCUAACUCCGUGCCAGCAGCCGCGGUAAUACGGAGGAUGCGAGCGUUAUCCGGAUUUAUUGGGUGUAAAGGGUGCGGAGGCGGAAUGCCAAGUCAGCGGGAAAAUCGCGGGGCUCAACCUCGCUCCGCUGUUGAAACUGGCGUGCUGGAGUGGGCGAGAAGUAUGCGGAAGGCGUGGUGUAGCGGGGAAAUGCAUAGAGAUCACGGAGAA